RNAcentral lists this ribosomal RNA (253 nucleotides) under uncultured bacterium. Its description in RNAcentral is "partial 16S ribosomal RNA". It matches the Rfam family "Bacterial small subunit ribosomal RNA", at positions 524 to 776 of the family's 1533-position model. The record is from RNAcentral.
GACAGAGGGUGCAAACGUUGUUCGGAAUUACUGGGCGUAAAGCGUGUGUAGGCGGCUAUGUAAGUCGGAUGUGAAAGCCCCCGGCUCAACUGGGGAGGGUCACUCGAUACUGAUCGACUUGAAGGCAGGAGAGGGAAGCGGAAUUCCCGGUGUAGUGGUGAAAUGCGUAGAUAUCGGGAGGAACACCAGUGGCGAAGGCGGCUUCCUGGCCUGUUCUUGACGCUGAGGCGCGAAAGCUAGGGGAGCAAACGGG